UGGGGUGAAUAUUUCCGACAUGGGCGGCAAGCCUGAUGCCAGCCAUGCCCGCGUGUAUGAUGAAGGCCUUCGGGUUGUAAAGUACUUUUGGCGGGAAGAAAGGGUUGCUCCUAAUACCGGAUACUGCUGACGGUAUCUGCAGAAUAAGCACCGGCUAACUACGUGCCAGCAGCCGCGGUAAUACGGAGGGUGCAAGCGUUAAUCGGAAUUACUGGGCGUAAAGCGUGUGCAGGCGGUUGAUUAAGUUAGAUGUGAAAUCCCCGGGCUUAACCUGGGAACGGCAUUUUUAACUGGCGAGCUAGAGUAUGGCAGAGGGGGGUAGAAUUCCAUGUGUAGCGGUGAAAUGCGUAGAUAUGUGGAGGAAUACCGAUGGCGAAGGCGGCCCCCUGGGAUAAUACUGACGCUCAGACACGAAAGCGUGGGGAGCAAACAGGAUUAGAUACCCCUGUAGUCCUGUCUCUUAUAAAAAUCUCCGAGCCCCCAAAACAAAAAACAC
RNAcentral lists this ribosomal RNA (496 nucleotides) under Alcaligenes sp. RNAcentral's name for it is "bacterial SSU rRNA". It matches the Rfam family "Bacterial small subunit ribosomal RNA", at positions 353 to 836 of the family's 1533-position model. The record is from RNAcentral. Lineage: Bacteria; Pseudomonadati; Pseudomonadota; Betaproteobacteria; Burkholderiales; Alcaligenaceae.